GGGGCAAAAGUACAAAACUCCAAACUCAAACCUGAUUUAGGCAGGGAAUGAACCCCUCUUUUUUUUGCAUGGAGUAAAUUAAAAGCAACGAUAUAGAAAAUAGCUUACUGCAUGGUUCUCAGAUUUAGUAAUAAUCAAUUUCAUAGAUGAUGAUUUUAGAAUGCUCAGUGCAAUUUGAGGGAUAAAGUUUUAAGAAAUGGAGAGAACCUUUUGAUUUUGAUAUAAGUUGAUGUUCUGAUGGUGACUUAUAUAAUCC
Molecule: unclassified non-coding RNA, 256 nt
Filed under: Hevea brasiliensis (rubber tree)
Lineage: Eukaryota; Viridiplantae; Streptophyta; Magnoliopsida; Malpighiales; Euphorbiaceae
Source: RNAcentral